RNAcentral lists this ribosomal RNA (253 nucleotides) under uncultured bacterium. Its description in RNAcentral is "partial 16S ribosomal RNA". It matches the Rfam family "Bacterial small subunit ribosomal RNA", at positions 524 to 776 of the family's 1533-position model. The record is from RNAcentral.
UACGAAGGGGGCUAGCGUUGCUCGGAAUGACUGGGCGUAAAGGGCGCGUAGGCGGCUUGCACCGUCAGAUGUGAAAUUCCUGGGCUUAACCUGGGGGCUGCAUUUGAUACGUGUGGGCUUGAGUGCGGAAGAGGGUCGUGGAAUUCCCAGUGUAGAGGUGAAAUUCGUAGAUAUUGGGAAGAACACCGGUGGCGAAGGCGGCGACCUGGUCCGUGACUGACGCUGAGGCGCGUAAGCGUGGGGAGCAAACAGG